This 253-nucleotide ribosomal RNA is filed under the name uncultured bacterium. Its description in RNAcentral is "partial 16S ribosomal RNA". It matches the Rfam family "Bacterial small subunit ribosomal RNA", at positions 524 to 776 of the family's 1533-position model. The record is from RNAcentral.
UACGUAGGGGGCAAGCGUUGUCCGGAUUUAUUGGGCGUAAAGAGCGUGUAGGCGGCCAGACAGGUCCGUUGUGAAAACUCGAGGCUCAACCUCGAGACGUCGACGGAAACCGUCUGGCUAGAGUCCGGAAGAGGAGUGUGGAAUUCCUGGUGUAGCGGUGAAAUGCGCAGAUAUCAGGAAGAACACCUAUGGCGAAGGCAGCACUCUGGGACGGUACUGACGCUGAGGUGCGAAAGCGUGGGGAGCAAACGGG